This 932-nucleotide long non-coding RNA is filed under the name Salmo salar (Atlantic salmon). RNAcentral's name for it is "lncRNA (ENSSSAG00000087147.1)". Lineage: Eukaryota; Metazoa; Chordata; Actinopteri; Salmoniformes; Salmonidae. The record is from RNAcentral.
GUCAAUGAACAACAUUCUCACAUAGGUGUUUCUUUUGUACAUAGGUGUUCCUUUUGAUUGAGAUUCCGUCAUCUGUGGAUCUGUUGUGGUGGUAUGCGAAUGUAACAAGAUAGGGGGAGAUCGCGAACGUCAGGUCUUCCCAGUAUGAAAAUGUGAUGCAAGGGCUUUUGCCAUCGACAGCCAUCAGUAUCAUUAAGCCCUGCACAACUACCGUGCUGGUUCUCAUUUAACAACAGGAAUAAAUAAUGCUCAACUGGGACCACUGGCUGAUGUGAUUUAUUAGGAAAAAAAAACACAACGCAAGGAGAGUACGCUAUACAUCUGUUACACUGGUGCCGUGACUCGUCUUCUUGUCUUCGCCGGACGUCACGUGGAGGGAUCCGAGACCCGGCUUCAAGAAGUACUGCGGUUGCUGAUGCACGCCAGAGGCCUAGGUUUCGAAGUCUGCACAAGUGGAAUUCUCAGGGAGCUCCUGGUAGCAUGAAUAGGGGGAGAUCGCGAACGUCAGGUCUUCCCAGUAUGAAAAUGUGAUGCAAGGGCUUUUGCCAUCGACAGCCAUCAGUAUCAUUAAGCCCUGCACAACUACCGUGCUGUUUCUCAUUUAACAACAGGACCUGAGCCCUAGGACCAUGCCUCAGGACUACCUGGUAUGAUGACUCCUUGCUGUCCCCAGUCCACCUGGCCGUGCUGCUGCUCCAGUUUAAACUGUUCUGCCUGCGGCUAUGGAACCCUGACCUGUUCACCGGACGUGCUUGUUGCACCCUCGACAACUACUAUGAUUAUUAUUAUUUGACCAUGCUGGUCAUUUAUGAACAUUUUAACAUCUUGACCAUGUUCUGUUAUAAUAUCCACCCUGCACAGCCAGAAGAGGCCUGGCCACCCCUCAUAGCCUGGUUCCUCUCUAGGUUUCUUCCUAGGUUUUUGGCCUUUCU